GACGAACGCUGGCGGCGUGCUUAACACAUGCAAGUCGAACGGAAAGGCCCUGCUUUUGUGGGGUGCUCGAGUGGCGAACGGGUGAGUAACACGUGAGUAACCUGCCCUUGACUUUGGGAUAACUUCAGGAAACUGGGGCUAAUACCGGAUAGGAGCUCCUGCUGCAUGGUGGGGGUUGGAAAGUUUCGGCGGUUGGGGAUGGACUCGCGGCUUAUCAGCUUGUUGGUGGGGUAGUGGCUUACCAAGGCCUUGACGGGUAGCCGGCCUGAGAGGGUGACCGGCCACAUUGGGACUUAGAUACGGCCCAGACUCCUACGGGGGGCAGCAGUGGGGAAUAUUGCACAAUGGGCGGAAGCCUGAUGCAGCAACGCCGCGUGCGGGAUGACGGCCUUCGGGUUGUAAACCGCUUUCGCCUGUGACGAAGCGUGAGUGACGGUAAUGGGUAAAGAAGCACCGGCUAACUACGUG
This 468-nucleotide ribosomal RNA is filed under the name uncultured bacterium. RNAcentral's name for it is "partial 16S ribosomal RNA". It matches the Rfam family "Bacterial small subunit ribosomal RNA", at positions 28 to 507 of the family's 1533-position model. The record is from RNAcentral.